Long non-coding RNA from Limanda limanda (common dab), 780 nucleotides. RefSeq lists it as uncharacterized. The transcript is spliced from 3 exons. NCBI's taxonomy places the organism in Eukaryota, Metazoa, Chordata, Actinopteri, Pleuronectiformes, Pleuronectidae. The record is from RefSeq and is a predicted model, not a curated record.
AGAAGGAAAGAACGAACCAGAUCCAGGAAACAAAGAGAUGACAACAGAUUGGUGGUGGUACAUUCGUCUGGUUGUGGGUUUUGCAUCAAUCGUAACAUUGGUUGUGAUUCUCAUCAGAUGGAGAAGAAACAAGAUCCAGGGUGGUGAUGUUGCAGUGGCCUUCAGCACUGUGGAAGCUCCCUCCUCUUCUACUGGACCCUCAGCUGAUCCCAGCAGCCUCUAUGAGAACGUCACAAUCAUACAAUAGUAGAGUCACAUUUGACAUCGAUAUAUUUAUAUCAGGAAUCAUUUGCUAAAACUUUCUGCUGUGAAAACAAAGUCACUUGUAAUAAUGUGAUUCUCAUUAGAUAGAAAAGAAACAAAGGUGUGAACAUUCCCAGAGGAAACUUUGAUUUAGUUUAAACUUCUGCCAAGGCCCGACUGUCUGUAAAGUUUGAUAUAAAAAGUCACUUUUAUCGUGUGGACUGGAUUUAACCAGUUUUCAGCCAUUUUAUUGAUUCUUGAAGUUUGUCGUCCAAAAGCUGGAAUAUUUUAUCUUGUAUCUUCAUGUUCUUCUGAUCCAGCUGUUAUUCUUAUACAUUACAAUGGUGACGUGUUAUUUGAUAGAAAAUUGUACUUUCUUGAUUCUUCCUGUUCUGGGUUUGUACCUCAUGGUUGAUGCUCUUAUUGUAAAUUGCUUUGGAUAAAAGCUUCAGCUAAAUGAAAUGUAAGGAAAUGUAAUGUAUGAUGAUAUGUUAUGAAUUAUUGUAUAUGAACCAAUGUGUUGUAAAAAGCCUUUUG